CAGCCGCCGCGGUAAUACGGAGGGUGCAAGCGUUAAUCGGAAUUACUGGGCGUAAAGCGCACGCAGGCGGUCUGUCAAGUCGGAUGUGAAAUCCCCGGGCUCAACCUGGGAACUGCAUUCGAAACUGGCAGGCUAGAGUCUUGUAGAGGGGGGUAGAAUUCCAGGUGUAGCGGUGAAAUGCGUAGAGAUCUGGAGGAAUACCUGUGGCGAAGGCGGCCCCCUGGACAAAGACUGACGCUCAGGUGCGAAAGCGUGGGGAGCAAACAGGAUUAGAGACCCGCGUAGUCCCUGUCUCUUAUAC
This 301-nucleotide ribosomal RNA is filed under the name uncultured bacterium. RNAcentral describes it as "partial 16S ribosomal RNA". It matches the Rfam family "Bacterial small subunit ribosomal RNA", at positions 509 to 807 of the family's 1533-position model. The record is from RNAcentral.